This 588-nucleotide ribosomal RNA is filed under the name uncultured bacterium. Its description in RNAcentral is "bacterial SSU rRNA". It matches the Rfam family "Bacterial small subunit ribosomal RNA", at positions 338 to 916 of the family's 1533-position model. The record is from RNAcentral.
CCUACGGGAGGCAGCAGUAGGGAAUCUUCCGCAAUGGACGAAAGUCUGACGGAGCAACGCCGCGUGAGCGAUGAAGGCCUUCGGGUCGUAAAGCUCUGUUGUUAGGGAAGAACAAGUGCUAGUUGAAUAAGCUGGCACCUUGACGGUACCUAACCAGAAAGCCACGGCUAACUACGUGCCAGCAGCCGCGGUAAUACGUAGGUGGCAAGCGUUGUCCGGAAUUAUUGGGCGUAAAGCGCGCGCAGGCGGUUUGAUAAGUUGGAUGUGAAAGCUCCCGGCUCAACUGGGAGAGGCCGUUCAAAACUAUCAGACUAGAGGACGGUAGAGGGAGGUAGAAUUCCCGGUGUAGUAGUGAAAUGCGUAGAUAUCGGGAGGAAUACCAGUGGCGAAGGCGGCCUCCUGGACCGUUCCUGACGCUCAGACGCGAAAGCUAGGGGAGCGAACGGGAUUAGAAACCCCGGUAGUCCUAGCUGUAAACGAUGCAAACUUGGUGUUGGUGGGGUAAAAUCCGCCGGUGCCGAAGCUAACGCGAUAAGUUUGCCGCCUGGGGACUACGGCCGCAAGGUUGAAACUCAAAGGAAUUGACGG